UACGAAGGGGGCUAGCGUUGCUCGGAAUCACUGGGCGUAAAGGGUGCGUAGGCGGGUUUUUAAGUCAGGGGUGAAAUCCUGGAGCUCAACUCCAGAACUGCCUUUGAUACUGAAGAUCUUGAGUUCGGGAGAGGUGAGUGGAACUGCGAGUGUAGAGGUGAAAUUCGUAGAUAUUGGGAAGAACACCGGUGGCGAAGGCGGCCAUCUGGACCGGCACUGACGCUGAGGCGCGAAAGCGUGGGGAGCAAACAGG
RNAcentral lists this ribosomal RNA (253 nucleotides) under uncultured bacterium. RNAcentral describes it as "partial 16S ribosomal RNA". It matches the Rfam family "Bacterial small subunit ribosomal RNA", at positions 524 to 776 of the family's 1533-position model. The record is from RNAcentral.